RNAcentral lists this ribosomal RNA (497 nucleotides) under uncultured bacterium. Its description in RNAcentral is "partial 16S ribosomal RNA". It matches the Rfam family "Bacterial small subunit ribosomal RNA", at positions 28 to 507 of the family's 1533-position model. The record is from RNAcentral.
GACGAACGCUGGCGGCGUGCCUAAUACAUGCAAGUUGAGCGAUGAAGAUUGGUGCUUGCACCAAUUUGAAGAGCAGCGAACGGGUGAGUAACGCGUGGGGAAUCUGCCUUUGAGCGGGGGACAACAUUUGGAAACGAAUGCUAAUACCGCAUAGCAACUUUAAACAUAAGUUUUAAGUUUGAAAGAUGCAAUUGCAUCACUCAAAGAUGAUCCCGCGUUAUAUUAGCUAGUUGGUGAGGUAAAGGCUCACCAAGGCGAUGAUACAUAGCCGACCUGAGAGGGUGAUCGGCCACAUUGGGACUGAGACACGGCCCAAACUCCUACGGGAGGCAGCAGUAGGGAAUCUUCGGCAAUGGACGAAAGUCUGACCGAGCAACGCCGCGUGAGUGAAGAAGGUUGUCGGAUCGUAAAACUCGGUUGGUAGAGAAGAACGUUGGUGAGAGUGGAAAGCUCAUCAAGUGACGGUAACUACCCAGAAAGGGACGGCUAACUACGUG